This 103-nucleotide microRNA precursor is filed under the name Marmota monax (woodchuck). Lineage: Eukaryota; Metazoa; Chordata; Mammalia; Rodentia; Sciuridae. The record is from RNAcentral.
AGCGAGAUCAUUGGGUCAUAUGGUGGUUCCACUUCAAGUUCUUUGAGGAAUCUCCAUAAUGCUUUCCAGAGUGGGUGCACCAAUUUGCUGUCCCACCAGCAAU